Long non-coding RNA from Oryzias melastigma (Indian medaka), 1620 nucleotides. RefSeq lists it as uncharacterized. NCBI's taxonomy places the organism in Eukaryota, Metazoa, Chordata, Actinopteri, Beloniformes, Adrianichthyidae. The transcript is spliced from 3 exons. The record is from RefSeq and is a predicted model, not a curated record.
UUGUGUGUUUAGUUGUCCGACACAUCAACAAAGUUACAAUUAUAAACAGGAACAGAUGUUUUCAUUUUCACCAGGUGUUUAGUCCUGCUCCCUCCUUCAAAAUAAAAGCUCUGACAGACAUAGAAACAUAAACAUAGAGAAUGUUUUCGUUCAACAUUUCCUCUCUCAGUUCUCCGUUCCUCUGUCUGGUGCACUGAAUGAGUGUGUUGUCCCUCGUUCCCACUCUCCUCCAGGGGAGAGAUUCCAGGUGGCUUGUCUGUUCUGCAGCCGUGGACCUCGUCUCUGGCUCAUCUUGCACCCCCCGUUUUCCCCCAGCUCCAUCUGGAUGAAGCCCAUCUGCUGCACUAUUUAAAAUUGUGUCUGCACGGUGGUGUAGUGGUUAGCACUUUUGCCUCACAGCAGGAACGGCCGUGGCUCAAAUCCGGGCUGGAGGACCUGUAACCAACUUUCUGUGUGGAGUUUCCACGUUCUCUCUGUGCAUGUGUGGGUUUUCUCCAGGGACUCUGGCUCUCUCCCACCAUCCAUCCAACCAUUCAUCUAUCUUCUUCCGUUCAUCCUGGACCGGGUCACGGGGGCAGCAGUUUAAGCAAUGAUGCCCAGAUUUCCCUCUCCCCGGUCACUUCCUCCAGCUCCCCUGGAGGUUCCCAGGCCAGCUGAGAGACAUAGUCUCUCCAGCAUGUCCUGAGUCUUCCCCAAGGCCUCUGCCUAGUAGGACAUGCUUGGAACUCCUCCCCUCCCCAGGGCGGCGUCCAGGAGGCAUCAGGACCGGAUACCUGUGCCACAUCAGCGACCUCUGAAACGUUAGCAGCAAAUCUGCCGACAAGCCAGCAAGGCUUGAUAGGACUCCAUCCCUUACAUCCGGCGUCCACCAGCGGGUUUGACACACAGCUGAAGGUCGCCUGAAACGAGUAUUUACAGACAUGAUAAAUGAAUCCACAUGGUCUGUAGACUUUGGACACUACAUUCAGCUAUUCUCCAGUUCUUUUUUGACCUCCGUUUGUGUUUGGUUCUGGUGUUUGAUCUCAAGAUAAGCCAAGCUCAGUGGAAAACAGUUUGUUGAGGAAUCAGGUGAACUUCUUACAGCAGCACUAUCAGCAGACAGUAAGGAGGAUCCAGGUGAGUCCAGGGAGGAUCCAGGUGAGUCCAGGGAGGAUCAGGUCAACGUCGGAGGGAGAAACUGGUGUCAUGCAGAAGUGGAGCGUGGGUCAGAGCAGGAAGACAGAAUACGAUCAAUGUCCAAAUCCAGGUCCAUGUCAGCAUCACUGCACCACAGAAGUGAGGAUGUCUUCAUCUACUUAGAUCAGAUUGAGCUUGGAUAACAGUGAUCAAUGACUGCUUGGUAGUCUAUGCUGACAUCUGAAGGGCAUUGAAAUGAUUCUGUUUUCCCUGCUGAAGGAGACAGCAGCAAAGUUGAAUGUCUUUUGACCAACAGGUAGAGAUGUGAACCGUCUAUGGGGAACACCCCCCUUUACCCAACAAUGGCUGGGAUUGGCUCCAGCAACCCAGCGACCUUUCAAAGACCUGAUCCUGAAGAUGAGGAGGACUUUCUCUUGGGAGGUUUGCUCCGAUGAACUGGACAUCAUCAACAGAACAACCCGUCUCUCAGACUAAAGAGACUCA